UUGAAUAGUUUAACAAGGAAGCACUACUUUACUUUUCGGGAUCUGGUUGAGGUUCUAGUUUUAUAUUCAAUCGUACACAUAACAUCUAGUCAUAUUUAACUCUGAAACGCUAACCUAGAUUCUUUUUGCUUA
Molecule: small RNA, 132 nt
Filed under: Arabidopsis thaliana (thale cress)
Lineage: Eukaryota; Viridiplantae; Streptophyta; Magnoliopsida; Brassicales; Brassicaceae
Description: ATSL038640
Source: RNAcentral